This is a long non-coding RNA of Megachile rotundata (alfalfa leafcutting bee), 672 nucleotides long. The record is from RefSeq and is a predicted model, not a curated record. Lineage: Eukaryota; Metazoa; Arthropoda; Insecta; Hymenoptera; Megachilidae.
CUACCUUUAAGCUAUAAUCUUCGUAUAGCGGAAGUUAUAAUUAUGCCUGAAUACUGACAUACAAGUGGAGAGGAAAUUGGCACCCGGGUGAUACACAUGGAUCAAUUUCUUUUUGUUAUAAUUUGCGUGGGUCAUUUGUUCUGAUCUGCCAGUUUUGUGCUUUAUUUAAAUGGAUUUUGUGGGUGAGCUGUACUUGGUGACCAGUGCUAGUGGUGUAUAUAUAUUCGAUUGCUUUUAAUUAUCUUUCACCGUUAAUGUGCUGUUAUCCAGAAGGAACAUUGAAUUCAGCAGUGAUUAUUGAACGUAGAAAUUAGGGUUAGGAAUUUGAUGUGUGAACUUUUGAGUACAUUUAAUUAUAGAAUGUGCCUGUGACUGCACAUAACCUCUUUUAGUGCACAUUGAGAGAGUUCUUCAUCAGAAGACAGCUGAUCCCUGUACACAUAUAAGGGGUGGGUUGGAGGAUGGAUAUUGUUUAUCUGAUUGACCUGGACGAAUCCUGGACUGGCUUUUGCCCGUGCUGGGACGAUUUUAUGUUUGUAAACCGAAGACUGUAGCAGACGAACCGGCGACCACCUCCCCGUCCACGGCGGAUCCUAAUAAUAAUAAAUAGAUAUAGUUAGAGCUAAACCGUGUGUUCUCUAUUGUACCCGCGACCAGUCCCCUUCCUUCCGC